UCAAAACUUUUAACAACGGAUCUCUUGGUUCUGGCAUCGAUGAAGAACGCAGCGAAAUGCGAUACGUAAUGUGAAUUGCAGAAUUCAGUGAAUCAUCGAAUCUUUGAACGCACAUUGCGCCCAGCAGCAAUCUGCUGGGCAUGCCUGUCCGAGCGUCAUUUCUGCCCUCGAGCGCGGUUCGCUUGCGAGCCGACGCCCGGUGUUGGGGCUCUGCGGGUUCGUCCCGCAGUCCCCGAAAUGUAGUGGCGGUCCCGCCGCGGCGCCCCCUGCGUAGUACUUUGUCUCGCAUCGGGUCCCGGCGAAGGCCAGCCGUCGAACCUUUCUUUUGAUGGUUUGACCUCGGAUCAGGUAGGGUUACCCGCUGAACUUAAGCAUAUCAAUAAGCGGAGGAAAAGAAACCAACAGGGAUUGCCCCAGUAACGGCGAGUGAAGCGGCAACAGCUCAAAUUUGAAAACUGGUCCCCUUGGGGGCCCGUGUUGUAAUUUGAAGAGGAUGCUUCUGGCGAGGCGCCGUCCGAGUUCCCUGGAACGGGACGCCAUAGAGGGUGAGAGCCCCGUACGGUCGGACGCCUAGCCUAUGUGAAGCUCCUUCGACGAGUCGAGUAGUUUGGGAAUGCUGCUCAAAAUGGGAGGUAAACCCCUUCUAAAGCUAAAUACCGGCCAGAGACCGAUAGCGCACAAGUAGAGUGAUCGAAAGAUGAAAAGCACUUUGAAAAGAGAGUUAAACAGCACGUGAAAUUGUUAAAAGGGAAGCGCUUGCGACCAGACUUGCGCCCGUCGGAUCAGCCGUCCCUCGUGGGCGGUGCACUCCGGCGGGCUCAGGCCAGCAUCGGUUCGCUUGGGGGGAGAAAGGCGUCGGGAAUGUGGCUCUUCGGAGUGUUAUAGCCCGGCGUGUAAUACCCUCAGGUGGACCGAGGACCGCGCGAAAGCAAGGAUGCUGGCGUAAUGGUCGUCAGCGACCCGUCUUGAAACACGGACCAAGGAGUCGUCCUAAUAUGCGAGUGUAAGGGUGUCAAACCCCUGCGCGUAAUUAAAGUGAACGUAGGUGAGAGCUUCGGCGCAUCAUCGACCGAUCCUGAUGUUCUCGGACGGAUUUGAGUAAGAGCAUAUUGGGCCGGACCCGAAAGAAGGUGAACUAUGCCUGUGUAGGGUAAAGCCAGAGGAAACUCUGGUGGAGGCUCGCAGCGGUUCUGACGUGCAAAUCGAUCGUCAAACAUGGGCAUGGGGGCGAAAGACUAAUCGAACCUUCUAGUAGCUGGUUUCCGCCGAAGUUUCCCUCAGGAUAGCAGUGUUGAAUUUCUCAGUUUUAUGAGGUAAAGCGAAUGAUUAGGGAAUCGGGGGCGCUAUUUAGCCUUCAUCCAUUCUCAAACUUUAAAUAUGUAAGAAGCCCUUGUUACUUCAUUGAACGUGGGCCUUCGAAUGUAUCAACACUAGUGGGCCAUUUUUGGUAAGCAGAACUGGCGAUGCGGGAUGAACCGAUCGCGGGGAUAAGGUGCCGGAGUGGACGCUCAUCAGACACCACAAAAGGUGUUAUCACAUCUAGACAGCAGGACGGUGGCCAUGGAAGUCGGAAUCCGCUAAGGACUGUGUAACAACUCACCUGCCGAAUGUGAUAGCCCUGAAAAUGGAUGGCGCUCAAGCGUCCCACCCAUACCCCGCCCCCAGAGUAGACACUAUGCUCUGGGGAGUAGGCGGACGUGGAGGUCGUGACGAAGCCCAGGGGGUGACCCCGGGUCGAACGGCCUCUAGUGCAGAUCUUGGUGGUAGUAGCAAAUACUUCAAUGAGAUCUUGAAGGACCGAAGUGGGGAAAGGUUCCAAAUGAACAGCGGUUGGAUUUGGGUAAGCCGAUCCUAAGCCAUAGGGAAGUUCCGUUUCAAAGGGGCACUAUACGCCCCGUAUGGCGAAAGGGAAGCCGGUCAAUAUUCCGGCGCCUGGAUGUGGGUUUUACGCGGCAACGCAAACGAAAGCGAAGACGAGGGCGGGGGCCCUGGGUAGAGUUCUCUUUUCUUCUUAACAGCCUAGCGACCCUGGAAUCGGUUUGUCCGGAGAUAGGGUUCAACGGCUGGAAGAGCCCGGCACUUCUGCCGGGUCCGGUGCGCUCCUGACCUCCCUUGAAAAUUCGCUGGAGGGAAUAAUUCUCACGCCAGAUCGUACUCAUAACCGCAGCAGGUCUCCAAGGUGAACAGCCUCUGGUUGAUAGAAGAACGUAGAUAAGGGAAGUCGGCAAAAUAGAUCCGUAACUUCGGGAAAAGGAUUGGCUCUAAGGGUUGGGCACGCGCAAUCUAGAAAGCAUGCUCUGGAUGCCGUGGGAUAAACAGCAGGCGCGUCAAGAGAUGGCCACGUGGGAC
This 2349-nucleotide ribosomal RNA is filed under the name Candidatus Bathyarchaeota archaeon. RNAcentral describes it as "23S ribosomal RNA". The stretch from base 335 to 2349 matches the Rfam family "Eukaryotic large subunit ribosomal RNA", at positions 1 to 2047 of the family's 3401-position model. The record is from RNAcentral. Lineage: Archaea; Thermoproteati; Candidatus Bathyarchaeota.